GGGGGGGCAAGCGUUGUUCGGAAUUACUGGGCGUAAAGGGUUUGUAGGUGGCUUGCUAAGUCAGACGUGAAAUCCCUCAGCUUAACUGGGGAACUGCGUCUGAUACUGGCGAGCUUGAGUGCAGGAGAGGAACGCGGAAUUCCAGGUGUAGCGGUGAAAUGCGUAGAUAUCUGGAGGAACACCGGUGGCGAAGGCGGCGUUCUGGACUGCAACUGACACUGAAAAACGAAAGCCAGGGGAGCAAACGGG
RNAcentral lists this ribosomal RNA (249 nucleotides) under uncultured bacterium. RNAcentral describes it as "partial 16S ribosomal RNA". It matches the Rfam family "Bacterial small subunit ribosomal RNA", at positions 528 to 776 of the family's 1533-position model. The record is from RNAcentral.